Molecule: ribosomal RNA, 1378 nt
Filed under: Staphylococcus aureus H50403
Lineage: Bacteria; Bacillati; Bacillota; Bacilli; Caryophanales; Staphylococcaceae
Description: bacterial LSU rRNA
Rfam family: Bacterial large subunit ribosomal RNA
Source: RNAcentral
GUACUCGUUAAGGCUGAGCUGUGAUGGGGAGAAGACAUUGAGUCUUCGAGUCGUUGAUUUCACACUGCCGAGAAAAGCCUCUAGAUAGAAAAUAGGUGCCCGUACCGCAAACCGACACAGGUAGUCAAGAUGAGAAUUCUAAGGUGAGCGAGCGAACUCUCGUUAAGGAACUCGGCAAAAUGACCCCGUAACUUCGGGAGAAGGGGUGCUCUUUAGGGUUAACGCCCAGAAGAGCCGCAGUGAAUAGGCCCAAGCGACUGUUUAUCAAAAACACAGGUCUCUGCUAAACCGUAAGGUGAUGUAUAGGGGCUGACGCCUGCCCGGUGCUGGAAGGUUAAGAGGAGUGGUUAGCUUCUGCGAAGCUACGAAUCGAAGCCCCAGUAAACGGCGGCCGUAACUAUAACGGUCCUAAGGUAGCGAAAUUCCUUGUCGGGUAAGUUCCGACCCGCACGAAAGGCGUAACGAUUUGGGCACUGUCUCAACGAGAGACUCGGUGAAAUCAUAGUACCUGUGAAGAUGCAGGUUACCCGCGACAGGACGGAAAGACCCCGUGGAGCUUUACUGUAGCCUGAUAUUGAAAUUCGGCACAGCUUGUACAGGAUAGGUAGGAGCCUUUGAAACGUGAGCGCUAGCUUACGUGGAGGCGCUGGUGGGAUACUACCCUAGCUGUGUUGGCUUUCUAACCCGCACCACUUAUCGUGGUGGGAGACAGUGUCAGGCGGGCAGUUUGACUGGGGCGGUCGCCUCCUAAAAGGUAACGGAGGCGCUCAAAGGUUCCCUCAGAAUGGUUGGAAAUCAUUCAUAGAGUGUAAAGGCAUAAGGGAGCUUGACUGCGAGACCUACAAGUCGAGCAGGGUCGAAAGACGGACUUAGUGAUCCGGUGGUUCCGCAUGGAAGGGCCAUCGCUCAACGGAUAAAAGCUACCCCGGGGAUAACAGGCUUAUCUCCCCCAAGAGUUCACAUCGACGGGGAGGUUUGGCACCUCGAUGUCGGCUCAUCGCAUCCUGGGGCUGUAGUCGGUCCCAAGGGUUGGGCUGUUCGCCCAUUAAAGCGGUACGCGAGCUGGGUUCAGAACGUCGUGAGACAGUUCGGUCCCUAUCCGUCGUGGGCGUAGGAAAUUUGAGAGGAGCUGUCCUUAGUACGAGAGGACCGGGAUGGACAUACCUCUGGUGUACCAGUUGUCGUGCCAACGGCAUAGCUGGGUAGCUAUGUGUGGACGGGAUAAGUGCUGAAAGCAUCUAAGCAUGAAGCCCCCCUCAAGAUGAGAUUUCCCAACUUCGGUUAUAAGAUCCCUCAAAGAUGAUGAGGUUAAUAGGUUCGAGGUGGAAGCAUGGUGACAUGUGGAGCUGACGAAUACUAAUCGAUCGAAGACUUAAUC